Molecule: ribosomal RNA, 408 nt
Filed under: uncultured microorganism
Description: bacterial SSU rRNA
Rfam family: Archaeal small subunit ribosomal RNA
Source: RNAcentral
GUGCACCAGUCGAGAAACUUUACAAUGUGCGAAAGCACGAUAAGGGAACUCUGAGUGCCUCCUAAGGAGGCUGUUCAGGUGUCUAAAAGCACCUGAAGGAAGGGCUGGGUAAGACCGGUGCCAGCCGCCGCGGUAACACCGGCAGCCCAAGUGGUAGCCACGUUUAUUGGGUCUAAAGCGUCCGUAGCCGGCUGGGUAAGUUCCUUGGGAAAUUUGGCUGCUUAACAGUCAAGCUUUCAGGGAAUACUGCCCGGCUUGGGACCGGGAGAGGUCAGAGGUACUCCAGGGGUAGGGGUGAAAUCCAUUAAUCCUUGGGGGACCACCGGUAGCGAGGGCGUCUGACCAGACCGGAUCCGACGGUGAGGGACGAAGGCUAGGGGCGCGAACCGGAUUAGAUACCCCUGUAGU